RNAcentral lists this ribosomal RNA (591 nucleotides) under Halicephalobus sp. NKTW4. Its description in RNAcentral is "SSU rRNA". It matches the Rfam family "Eukaryotic small subunit ribosomal RNA", at positions 1026 to 1643 of the family's 1831-position model. Lineage: Eukaryota; Metazoa; Nematoda; Chromadorea; Rhabditida; Panagrolaimidae. The record is from RNAcentral.
CUGACCGUAAACUAUGCCAUCUAACGAGUCGGUAUUGGUUAUUAUAUUGCCAUUUUGACGAGUUACCCGGAAACGAAAGUCUUUCGGUUCCGGGGGGAGUAUGGUUGCAAAACUGAAACUUAAAGGGAUUGACGGAAAGUCACCACCAGAAAUGGAGCCUGCGGCUUAAUUUGACUCAACACGGGAAAACUCACCCGGUCUAGACACUAAAAUGAAUGACAGACUGAUAUAUCUCUCAAGAUAUAGUGCAAAGUGGUGCAUGGCCGUUCUUAGUUCGUGGAGUAAUCUGUCUGGUUAAUUUCGAUAACGAACGAGACUAGAACAUGGUUAAUUGUGUGUGGUAUUGUUGUUUACUUACAUAGAGAUAAAUGGAUAUGCAAAUUAAAUUGCCUGAAAACUGGCAAUAACAGGUCUGUUAUGCCCUUAGUUGUCCGGGGCCGCACGCGCGCUACAAUGGAAAUUGCAGUGCGUAUUUACUAUAUCGAAAGAUAUGGUUAAACGUGUCAAAUUAUUCCGCAUUCGGGAUCGGAAGCUGUAAUUGCUUUCGUGAACGAGGAACUUCAAGUAAGUGUGUGUCAUUAGCGCACGCUG